This is a non-coding RNA of Biomphalaria pfeifferi, 791 nucleotides long. Lineage: Eukaryota; Metazoa; Mollusca; Gastropoda; Planorbidae. The record is from the annotation of a GenBank genome assembly.
AUUUAUUUUAAAAAUUUAUUUUGUACUUCAGAUUAAAUUAGAAUUUGAAAUUUACAUCUUUACAGAGGAAUGUUCUAAAUGUUUAGUGGUGUAUGUUUUGAUUCAGAACACCACAAACUCAUUUAGAGAUGAAUGGACAAGAUAUACAAAUAUUUGUAAACAAAUUUACAAUCUUUCAAUAUGCAAUCAGAAAUAUUAAAUUGUACUGAUUUUGUGCCAGAAAAUACAAAGAUCUUGGAAUAUUUUUCUGAUUACUACUAACUUAACUCUUUCCGUAAUUAUUUUUCCACGUUUUGAAGGAAUUCUUCAUUUGCUUAUUACUAUUUCACUACCCCUGUUAUGAUUGGGCUUCAAUAGCAUUGUUGUUUAUCAGAAAAUGUUGUAUUUGGUAUAGAAAUAAAGGGGAAUGCAUGGUCUUUUUAUAUAAUUCAAAGUCAAUUUAAAAAAAUUAAACAUUAAUUUAAUUUACUGAGGUCAAAAUCAAAGAUGGUAUCGUCGAUUAGGAGAGAAAGAGUUAACAAGGGCGCCAAAAAAAACAACAAAAGGCACAAUUUUAAAUGAAACUUGAUCAAAUUAAAAUGUAACAAAAUAGCAAAGAAACAAAUUAUCCAAUAAUAGACAAUGUACACUUUUUUUUUUUAGUUUACAAUCAGAUGUAUGUACAGAAAUAUAUAUCUUUAAGCAUUUAUGUACACAAGUCAAAAACACUUAAAUGAUAAGCACAUGGUAAAGUUCAGAGUUUAUCUGUGAUUUGUGGAAAGACUUAAUAAACACCCCCCCCCCCCCCCCCC